UGGGGAAUAUUGCGCAAUGGGGGAAACCCUGACGCAGCAACGCCGCGUGAAUGAUGAAGGCCUUCGGGUUGUAAAGUUCUGUCUUCUGGGACGAUAAUGACGGUACCAGAGGAGGAAGCCACGGCUCACUACGUGCCAGCAGCCGCGGUAAUACGUAGGUUGCAAGCGUUGUCCGGAUUUACUGGGUGUAAAGGGCGUGUAGGCGGAGAUGCAAGUUGGGAGUGAAAUCCCGGGGCUCAACCCCGGAACUGCUUUCAAAACUGUAUCCCUUGAGUGUCGGAGAGGCAAGCGGAAUUCCUAGUGUAGCGGUGAAAUGCGUAGAUAUUAGGAGGAACACCAGUGGCGAAGGCGGCUUGCUGGACGAUAACUGACGCUGAGGCGCGAAAGCGUGGGGAGCAAACAGG
This 404-nucleotide ribosomal RNA is filed under the name uncultured prokaryote. RNAcentral's name for it is "bacterial SSU rRNA". It matches the Rfam family "Bacterial small subunit ribosomal RNA", at positions 355 to 776 of the family's 1533-position model. The record is from RNAcentral.